AGAAAACAAUUUCUGUAUGAAUAGUCCCAACACAAAAUAAAGCGUUGUCGUCCACUUCCUUGCCACAGGGUGGCGCUCUGCAGCCUGUUGUUAGAAAGCAGCUCAAGUUAAAUAUGAGUGACUCCAGGUUGAGUUUGACACUUAAAGCGUUCAUUCUGCUGAACAAUGGCCAGGUUUACUGUAGUCUUGAUGGUAUUUUCACUGCUUAAGGAGAGCACUGAUGCAUAUACAAUAGAAUCUCUCUCACCAGAAAAGCAUGUUUCAGUUGGAGAAAGUGCUGUUAUCUCCUGCAAAUACAGCGGCAUUGGGCCCAGCUUCCAGUGGUAUCGCCAGUAUCCAAGAUCCAGACCAGAGUUCCUUAUUUUUCACACAGAGACUGCUGAUUCAAAUAAACCCACUUUACGUCUCACAGCGAUACCCAGAAAAGAAAUGACACAAGUGGAUCUGGAGAUCUCCUCUACUGAAGUGAAAGACUCUGCUGUGUAUUACUGCGCCCUGGUGCCCACAGUGACAGGAAACACACCUGCUCUGUACAAAAACUUAAUACAUUCAUCUGCAUUACACAAAACUGUGAAACACCCGCAUCCAGUACACCACAACAAAUUAUUGAUGCAACAUGUUUAAAUGUAAAGAAACGCUGUCACGUCUUCAUUUUGAGAGAAAAACAGCCCAUCAGAGAAGAUAAAGUCUCAUCCUGAGGGUGGAGCAAAUUCACAAAGACGUGAAUGUGUGAACGG
Molecule: non-coding RNA, 737 nt
Organism: Megalobrama amblycephala (Wuchang bream)
Lineage: Eukaryota; Metazoa; Chordata; Actinopteri; Cypriniformes; Xenocyprididae
Source: the annotation of a RefSeq genome assembly